GACAGAGGUGCCGAGCGUUAGGCGGAAUCACUGGGCUUAAAGGGCGCGUAGGCGGGCUGUCAAGUCGGUGGUGAAAUCUUUCGGCUCAACCGGAAAAUUGCCUUCGAUACUGGCGGCCUGGAGGGAGGUAGGGGCAUGCGGAACUUCCGGUGGAGCGGUGAAAUGCGUAGAUAUCGGAAGGAACACCGAUGGCGAAAGCAGCGUGCUGGACCUUUUCUGACGCUGAGGCGCGAAAGCCAGGGGAGCAAACGGG
RNAcentral lists this ribosomal RNA (253 nucleotides) under uncultured bacterium. RNAcentral's name for it is "partial 16S ribosomal RNA". It matches the Rfam family "Bacterial small subunit ribosomal RNA", at positions 524 to 776 of the family's 1533-position model. The record is from RNAcentral.